This 5016-nucleotide long non-coding RNA is filed under the name Salmo salar (Atlantic salmon). RNAcentral describes it as "lncRNA (ENSSSAG00000121838.1)". The record is from RNAcentral. Lineage: Eukaryota; Metazoa; Chordata; Actinopteri; Salmoniformes; Salmonidae.
AUUUGAAUCAGCUGUGUAGUGCUAGGGCAAAAAAACAAAACGUGCACCACUUGGGGUCUUGGCUGCCCUGUGCAUACUGCUGCGCCAAACUCUGUUACCGCCGCCCGUACCCACUCCGCCGCAAGCUAUUCCAGGUUGUGAAAACCGGUCUGGCGUACAUGCAAACUUCAGUCCCCUGGCCAGCGGGACCUGAGGAGACGACUCUGCUAUGACCCCACACGCAAUUCAGGAUGUUGACAGAUGGCCUUGGGUUAUGCGUUUGAUUGGAUUGUAACAAUCAACACGUUAUCCCUGUGAAUCACAAGCAGUUGCCAUGGUGCAGGUGAGAGAGGUCAUGGGGCCAUGGGCAGUUCCAGGGUUGGGGUCAUUCUCUUCAGAUUUCGUCGUGUUCUCUCUGCUCUUCCUCCUCCUCUCCAUCAUCCUCGCCCUCUGCACUAACUGUAGAAGGCAUUCCUUUACGCUCCGGGAUGGUGGUGAGGAGGUGGACAGAACCCAGUCACAGCUGGUCAGAGUGAUUUCAGUCCCAGACCUGAGGACAGUGUCAUUGGUGUACCGGAUCAGCCUCCUGCUGAGCAGGAUGUCACCUGGUUGAAACCCUGGAGGAGCCACAGGGAGGCACCUGAUCAAGGUGAUUCUCCAAGUGCCUUGCAGAUUGCCAACAGAACCCCCAUGGUCAUGACGAUUAUAUCUCCUUCGCCUCCAGCAACCGUCGACAUUGGUGACCUGAGUGAUGUCCUGAACUUCACACCUGAGCUCCACUUUAUCCCAGCCCCCAUUGUCAUGGUGGAAGUCGACACCCCCCUUGAAUCUUUAUCCCCACCUGUCUAUUCAGAGGACACCCUAGAUGCCACAAUCGUGAGCAGUUUUGAACCUGUUGAUGUCCCCAUUGUGGAGGUCCCCAUCAUGAGCAGCCUUAAACCUGUUGCUGUCCCCAUCCUUGAACCUCUGGUUGUCCCCAUCGUGAGCAUUCUUGAACCUGUGGAAGUCCCCAAUGUGAAUGUCCACAUCGUGAGUAGUUUUGAAUCUGUGGAAGCCCCCAUCGUGGAUCUCCCCAUCAUGGAUGUCACCAUUGUGAACAGCCUUGAACCUCUGCAAGCCCCAAUUGUGGAUGCACCCAUCGUGAGCAGCCUUGAACCUGUUGAACAUGCAGAUGCCACUGUCAUGAAUGACCUUGAUAUCCUGAAUGCUCCAGUUGGCUUAGAGAACCUGGAUGCCCCAGUCAUCAACAGUCUUGACACACUGGUGCUGGACGCUCUUAUUGUAAACAGCCUUGAACCUGUGGACAUCCCUGUCAUCAAUGACCUUGACACUCCAGAUACCCCCAUCAUAAAUAUUCUUGACACCCUGGAGCUGGAUGCUCCCAUCAUAGAUGUCCCCAUUGUGGACAGCCUUGCACCUGUGGAAUUCCCCAUCAUGAAUGACAUUGACCUCCUGGAGAACCCUGCGGAGUUCAGCUCCAGCUUUAACCCUCAGCUUGAAGUAGAGGUUCAUGUGGAGGGUGAGGACCAGAACCAGGGGCUUUGUCUGUGUGUCCAACCUCAGCGUACCUAUGAGAUCAUUGGGGAGCCCAAUCCUGAUGAACCCUCUGGAAGUGGACCUGGCAACCCCAGGCUCUCAAACCAUAGCUGAACUGGUCCAUAACUCCACCACACAUUCUGACGAUGACACAACCACAGUCACCGAGCCAGCGGACCUGGAAAGCCCAGGCUAUGAUACUAUAGCUGAACUGGUCCAGGAUUCGAGUGCAACCACACUGCCUGACGAUGACCCUAUCACAACCACAGUCACAGAGCCAGGGGAUCAGAUAACCCCUGCGUAUGAAACCAUUGCUGAACUGGUCCAUAAAUUGAGCGCAACCACACUGCCUGACGAUGAGCCAAUAAGAACCACAGUCACAGAGCCAGGAGAAGGGCUUGACCUUACAAGCCCUCUCUCAGUGGCAGAGGAGGGUUUCUGUGACGGGGUGGAAUCCAAUGUACGCUAGAGUGAGAAAGAAGCUUAGUAAAAGUACCACCCCACCACCUGUGCUUCCAUCGGAGGACGAGGAACCGGAGGGAUUUUCACCUCCAUUACCAGAGAGAAGUGGAGAGAUGGAGGGAUGAUCAUUGUAGAAUAUCUCAUAAGACUUCAAAUGUGUGUUACGUCAUCAAUUAUAUUUAUAUAGACUCAACUGUGUCAUUUCUGGUGGAACAUGUCUCAGAUGAUGAAGAUAAGGGUUGUACCCAGUACAUAUCUUAUACGAUCUCAUAUGAGACGGGUAUCUCACUGUCCUAUCCUUCAUAUACACUAUUUCCAGUCCUUUCAUUAGCUUUGCAUUGAACUCCGUACAAUGCUAUGCUACAUAUUCCAUAAGGAAGGACCCUAAGCCCAGAGUAGAACUGGGUCACCUAACAUGUUCCAGAGUAGGCUUUAUGUUUGUAUUUACUAACACAUUACAGUGUGAAGUGGCAAUUACACAGUAAUAAAUCAUUGAGUUACAGGUUUCUUUGAGAUUCAUUCAACUUGGUCCACUUAAGAUUCUCUCCCUCUCUAGAAUUACAAACAUUAUACUUUAAUGACAAUAGUGGUGCAUUCUUAAUAAAUAAUGUAUAUCAACAAAUUAAAUGGACAACAUUAUGGGUGUGUCCGAAUACCCAUACUUAAAUAGAAGGCUUUUUGGGUAUGCAAAAAUGUUUUAUAGUAUGUGUCAUUUAGAAAAUGUAGUAUGCUUUAAGUGCAAGGAUGUCAUACUAAUUUUGGCUUUAAAUCAAGUAGAAUUUGCGCAUAGAGAAUGACAGAGGACUCCAGUGGCCAAAAACUUGUUUUAUCAUGGGCAUUGAGGACUUUCACCAUUUUGAAGUAGUUAACUGGAUGGGACUUACUAUGGGUUAAGGAAGGCUAAAAUAAUUCCAUCCAGGUCCAAGGAUAGAUCAGCCAAUGAAUUAUACUUGUGCACAAACAUUACAUAACUGUAGGGGCAGUAAAUCGCCAACCUUGGCUUUAUACCUGUUCAGACAACACACUCCGGAUGGCAGUAUGCAACCUUUCAGUUUGUUUACCAACUGUACUAAAAUGUACUACUUUAAAAUGGAGAUGUCCUCAAUGGUGCUGCCCAUGCUCUUACAGACGCCAUAAUGGGACAGAUACAUUGUUGUGUCCUCUAACUAGCUCUAUGAAUUUGCUGCACACUAUUGAGGAAGAUAAUUGUCUUUUCACACAAGUAUUUGACAACAGCUGAUAAUCAGAAUAGGGGACCCGCUCUACAAAAAUGUAUAAAUAGCAGGGAACAAACGCGUUUGAGCAUUAGAUGAUGCCUUUUCAGUAUGGCUGAGUGGUAUGUUGAUAUUUGUUGCUUACUGCAUACAUUUUUACUAAACAGUACAUUGUAAAUAGUAUGUUGUACUAUUAGUACACAGUAUGUAGUUUUAGUAAAUAGUGGGCAAGUUGGCAUUUCCAUUUAUUUAUUCAAAGCUUUACAGGUGAGGGGUAAAACCAAUCAUUUAGAAUUUACGUACAAUAUAAAACAAAUAUUAAUUCAGUGUUGUAAAAUGUCUAUUGUCAUUAUUAGAACAUAUAGGCUGAGCAGAAUGAAAUACAAGAGGACAGAUGUAAUACACCAUUACAAUACCACAUUGCAAAUCUGUACCUCAUUCAUUCCAACUAUUUAAUUUGAAAUUAAACACAUGUAUCAGAAUUCCAAUUCAAAAUAUUGUUUAAGUGCUUCUGUGUGCAGAUGCAAUUAACUUUUCUCACCACAGUGGGGAAGUACAACUCACUAUCUCUUACUGGAUUUCUCUCUGUCAGUGGAAAGUGAGAUGCCAAAGAAUGUGUCACAUUCAGCCCCUCUAAAUCCUGCUGGAUACUGUCCCCACCCUUCCUCAGAAGGGUGGGAACACCGCAAGAACUAUGGUCAGGAAAUUAAACUUAAAUACACAUCCCUAGCACAUACCUUUUAAAAGUAGGCAUUGAGAGAAAAACAUGCCUUUCGCUCAACUAUUAUAGCAUGCCCAUAAGCCUUGUUGAAAUAAGUGGUCUUUGAGCUGUUUUACUCUAGACUGGGAAAUCGGAAUAAACAAGCUCCGACUGGGAAAAUACAUUUUGAACGGUCAUCCAACUCAGAAUAGUAAAUCCGGCCUCUUUCUAGAGCUACGACUUGAAGAUCAAUGACGUCAUCAUGAUUCGGCCUUGUUUGUUUCCGAGUUCCCAGUUGUUUUGAAAACACCAUAAAUCCAGAGAAUGCCAGACUUUGAAAUUCGCAACAUUAAGACUACAAAACUACAAGGACAUUGCUCAAUGCCAAAUGUUUUGUAAGACCGAAUUGUUUCUGCAGCAAUUUUGUGGGCUGACACGAUGUUGAAUCCCACAUUGGAAUAGACCACUGGAUGAUUCUGUCUAUUACCCAUUGACAGACAUAUCCAUGGAGAUAAUUAAUAGUUUAUUAGAUUGGUUGGUGUCUGUAGCCCUGCAUGGUGCUGCAAAUGCAGUAUUUAAUUUAUUUAUAUAUACAGUACCAGUCAAAAGUUUGCACACACCUACUCAUUCAAGGGUUUUUCUUCUCUAAAUUGUAGAAUAAUAGUGAAAACAUCAAAACUAUGAAAUAACACAUGGAAUCUUGUAGUAACCAAAAAAGUGUUAAAAUAUAUUUUGAUUUGUUUAUAUUUGAGAUUCUUCAAAGUAGCCACCCUUUGCCUUGAUGACAGCUUUGCACACUCUUGGCAUUCUCUCAACCAGCUUCAUGAGGUAGUCACCUGGAAUGCAUUUCAAUUAACAGGUGUGCCUUGUUAAAAGUUAAUUUGUGGAAUUUCUUUCCUUCUUAAUGCGUUUGAGCCAAUCAGCUGUGUUAGCCCUAUUUGAUAAAAGACCAAGUACAUAUUAUGGUAAGAACAGCUCAAAUAAGCAAAGAGAAAUGACAGUCCAUUAUUACUUUAAGACAUGAAGGUCAGUCAAUCCGGGAAAUGUCAACAACUUUCUUCAAGUGCAGUCACAAAAACCAUCAAGCGCUUUGAUGAAACAGGCUUUCAUGAGGACCGCCACAGG